This 204-nucleotide ribosomal RNA is filed under the name uncultured bacterium. RNAcentral's name for it is "partial 16S ribosomal RNA". It matches the Rfam family "Bacterial small subunit ribosomal RNA", at positions 1297 to 1500 of the family's 1533-position model. The record is from RNAcentral.
AUUGCAGGCUGCAACUCGCCUGUAUGAAGUUGGAAUUGCUAGUAAUCGCGGAUCAGCAUGCCGCGGUGAAUACGUUCCCGGGCCUUGUACACACCGCCCGUCACACCAUGAGAGCCGGUAAUACCCGAAGUCAGUAUCCUAACCGCAAGGAGGGAGCCGUCGAAGGCAGGUCUGAUAACUGGGGUGAAGUCGUAACAAGGUAAC